CACUACCCACCAUUCCAACACCGGACCCAACCAUCGAUGCUGCUCCAUCUACGGCAUCCAUUGUACUUCCUAUAACUCCCUCCUCUUUAAGUUUCUUCCUUUCUUCUAAAAUCUUCUUCUCUGCCUCUAGGGCAACCAAUUGUUCUUUCUUGUCAAAUUCGUGAUAAAAGAUCUGGAAUUCCAAUGAGAUUGUGAUUUUUAAUUUAAUCCAGAGAACAUCUAUACAACUAUAUCAAAAAUAGCUCCAGAAAUUAUGCACUAAUGUUAUCACUGCCAAAAGAAAACAAUUCAAUGCAUGUCUAAUUAUACCUUCAUUGUCAAGGUUCCUCGAUCCUUUUUGUCUUUCACUUUCAGUGUAUCAAGUGAUGGCAGCAGCCUCACCUGAAACUCCUUUUCAGUUUCUGCUUUCAGGCCAAUAAGUGGUAAUUUUGCUACUCCCAAUCGCUUAUCUUGCCCAAUGUCCUUAUCAAAAACCUAUAUUCAGAGCCAUCAAUGAAAAACAUUUAUGAUAAAUCAUGACAACAAAAGAAUUUAAUAGGGAUUAUGCAGUUGGGAAGAGAACUUCAAGAUUUCAAACCAAAAAAUUAUCAGGUGUAGCUAGUCAAAACAGAUUAAGGUUUGGAUAAUUUCAUCCAUAAGCACUUACAGGAAAGUGAAUAAGGUAAAAUGGAAUAGAUUACUCCCAGAAGUUAAAAUUAGUCCAUACAUAUGUUAAUUUGUAAAAUUUCUUUCAAUUAGUUUUGUAAAAGUUAUUUUUAACUCAUGCAUAAACUAAUUUUAAUUUAUGGAAGAAGAUUAUUUCAUUUUACCUUCUAAUUUUCUUCUCCUAUGAAGGCCUGUGGAGAAAUUUAUCCAGAAAGAGCCUAAUAAACCUUCACGGGGAGAAGAUAAAGUAACAACUAUGAUCAAGAUAAAGAAAGGAAUCUAACAUGAAUUUUCUAAGAAGCAGUUACAUGAGAAACCUUGCACUUCAGCAAGUAAAUUGUAUAUACACAAAGAUGUAAAAUUGCCGCCAGCUUUGAUGUCAGAAAGUUUAAUGGGAAAAUCACAAAUCAAGAGUUCAGGAUAGGCCAAUUACAUCUAAGUUCUUUUUAGUAGUUCACUUUGAGUUCUUAUAUGGUAUCUCUAACUACUGGGUACUCCAUCUAAUUAACUCCUUACAAUUGGACAUCUACAAGUCUUACUCUCACAUGGCCAAACUCUUAGAAUUUAAGCUUGGGUUAAUUCAACUCUGCAACUAGUUUUUAAGGUAAGGAUUACCCAAGCUUUAUAUGUUUUAUUUAAGUCAUAUCUAUAGUUGAGGCUCUAAUAUAUCAUAGAACUUUGGCCUAGGCUUUAACUCACACAAAUUCAACUUAUAAGAUUAGAAUUACCCAAAAUUUAUGUUAUAUUUAAGUCAAAUUUCGAGUCAAUGUGGGCUAAAUACCACCCGUGAAGCUUCAAUUAAGGUAGCCCCCAAACAAACUGCAACUAAGGCAGGCUAGGAAUGACUGCAUUAAGGCAAUUUUCCAAAAACAAACCCUUAUGAAUGCAAUUCUACCAAGUUUUUCUUUCAUGGUUGCUACUCCUACCUUCUCUAAUAUAUUUAUUCACGAUCUUAUUUUUUUCUUCUAAGUUCAUUUCCUCCUUGCAACAUUCUUAGCUUUAUAACACUUGUUGGCUCUUGAUUUCCCAACUUUCAGAAUCAUGAAGCAUCAUUAGUAACAAUUUCCCUAAGAUUGAGUAGCACGUUUCAAUAAAAAAUAUCCACCAUUUCAUUGACCUUGCAAAAACCCUAAGACAUAUAUCUGCCUCAAUCUCUUCACCAUUUCAUGUGUGAAAUUCAAAUUUUUAGUAUAGCAAUCAUGAGGUCAUAUCAUGGGUAGCUUGCAAGUAUCUCAACCAAGGAUUAAAUAAAUAACAGUUAUAACAGAAAAAGGAUUAGUUGUGCUAAACCUCAACAAUUAGUGACUGUGUCUCCUUGUCCUCGGCAAUCAAGUCAAAAACCUCAUUCCAAACAGGGUUCAAGUUGUUAUCAAUGGCCUUUGUUUUAACCUUAAACAGUGGCCGAAUAUGCAACACUGCAUAAGGAUCGGACUUCCCAAUCAUUUCCAUAUUCUUUAGAUCAUUGGCUUUCAUUACUUUCACUCUAAGUGUUCCCUGGGGUUUAAGCUCCAGGUCACUGCAAAAAUAAAGGUGCUUAAGUAGUAUAAAAUAUUUGAGCAUUACCAUUUUAAAUUUGCAUGUUCCUAAAUACCACUUUUUUUUCUUUUCAAGGGGGGUGGAGGAAACAGAAAAUGAAAUCGAAGCUCUUUGCUAGAGGAAUAUUUCUACACAAUUCAAACAAUUUGAAAAUAUAUUUACCAGAUAUAUAGUUAAACCACAUGCUCCAACAUUCAUGCAGAUGAAUAUAAUAAACAAAAAUAAAAUCCAUAAGAUUCACAUUACCUAGUAUCAACAGGUAUACCCCCUAGAGGAACAACAAUCCUAUGAGGCCAUUGGAGCAUGUCGGUAACAAUUGAGUUCACAGUAUCCUAUUGGAAAUUGUGUAUUAUAAGUAAUUAAUUCAAAAUCAGUAAAAGGUGGAAGGGGCAUGUUCGUAAAAUAGAACUCACAUCAAUCAUAUCUGAAAUUCCAGGAAGGGCUGUCAAACUUCCACCAACAGCCUUCAACGUGUAAUCAAUUCUAGGCUUUGGCUGAUAAAAUGUUAAUGAAAAAGUCAGUAACUUCAAAACUGUAAAUGAUAUUAGCAUCCCAAUUAUCAUGUAGUAGGCUAUGCUGAUAACAGUAGUCCAAGAAUUCAAUUAGAUCAUUGACAAAGGUUGUCAAAUUAGAACUCUUAGUAUGAACAAUUGUAUCAGUCCACAUCAUUCACAAGCUACAGCUGGUGAUGAUGGCUCUACCAUCAUGACACUGAGAUCAAAUUGUUAAGACCAUUGAUGCUGAUAGUUAAUGUGAUCAACAUAUGUGAUUACUAUAAAGGGAUUUAUUAUCCAGAUUUUUCAGAUUUUGGUUUAACCAACUAAAGGUGAUAUCAAAUGAAAACUUGCAUAUCCAACUUCAAGUCAAUAUUAUUUGCUUGAUUUGAAGGAGAGCACGCAAAGGGAGGUUGCAAAACUCAAUCGAGUGCAUCAUCAUCCCCCCUCCACUCUCCAAACUCUCUUUUUUUUUCAUUUUUGAACCUCAAAAGUUACCUCAGCAAGUAGGGCAACAACAACAGCAGAAACGCACGGAAUCUCAUCCGCAAGUUGCAAUAUAACACGGAUGAUGGUGAACACCUGAAGAUCCUUCAACUGAAGCAAAAAACAACACUCAAAAUUUUGAAAGUUUCUCAUACGAAAGUGAAAUUCAACAAACACUGCUGAGUCUAACCUGAAUAGGAAUUGAUGCAACAAGUGCAGCUUCAACAGCCAAAACAAUAUUGGGAUCACCACCCCAACGGAAAUCGAUGUCCAUAAUUAUUUGACCUUUUUUAAGAUUCUGAACACGAAUACCUGCAUGGAUAAAGAAAAUAUGAAUACAUUAAUUCUCAAAAUAAAAAAUAAUAAUUCAACAGAAAAAUUUAAAGGGAGAAACAAUAAGGGUGAUACAAAUUUGUGUUUUGUAGCAUUUUGUUAUGGUGUUAUUGACCUGCACUCAUCUUUUCAUCUAAGUUUGAUUUUCAAUACUUGUUAAAUCUUGAAUCUCAUAAUUAUUGAUUUUGAAAAGAUACAAUAGGCUGGAUUGUAUUGCUUUUGGAUAGAAAUUGCCACAGACUGAGACACAUAAGAAUGGACUCAAAUUGCACAAUGAUAUUGUCGGAUUCUAGAUUUUGCAUCAUUAACAUAAAUUUUUGGAUGGCCAGCUUUUGGAAAAGGUAUAAAAAAUUACAUAUGAAGCAGCCUAAAAGAAAUAUUAGCAAAAUAGAAUGGCAAAUACGCUCAUUGUCUUGUACAUUUAAGUGCAGUAGUAAACUUAGCACAGAAAAAACAAAGAGGAAUUACAGUAGACAGAAACCUUCAACUUUUGGAGCAACAAUUCCAAGGGAGAGCUUGCUGAACUUUAAUGAAGUAAUUCCAGGAGGUCUGUACUCUUCCAACAGUGGUUCAACUGACUCUCUUAUCACCAAUGUUGCUGCCUAAAAGUAAACAUAAUCCAGAUAAAGAUAAAGUCAGCAAUUUAAGCAAUGCAGGGUGCAUGUUGUAGGCAAACAAUUUCACUUGAUAAAUCCUAAUAAUUUGAAGAUGUGGAUACAAAACUAACUAAAUACCAAAGGACAUCCAAGGUUUCCACGGUUUUGAUUUUUUGAGUUCUAUAUUGUAUGAGUUCUCAAUGAAGAAUUCUGAAUUUAGUUCCCUAUAAUAAUCAGAUCCAAUAUAGACUUUCAAAACAAUAUAGUGUCAUUCAAUAGUAAAUAAACAACCUUAUCAAAAUAUAGUUAAAAAACAACAAACUGCUGUAGAUUAUCAUACAAACAUUUUUUUUAUCCGCAAUCAUAUAAUAUGCAAGCAAGUAUACUCACAUCUGCAACAAAUGGCCAAAGUUUGGAUAGCUGCUUGUUUAGCCAUUUCACCUGAAAAUGCCCAUGUAAAGAAGAUCAUACACAGAGCACAACAUGCAUAGUAUAUCAAUUGGGAACAAGGUAGUGUUUCUAUAUUUUGACUUUGCAGCUAUAUUUGAUGUUUUGCCGAUAAUAUAUACCAUAUUAACUGGAAUAAUAGGAGAGCCGUGUCAAAUCAUUUCAGUAAAAAGCUAUGUAACCACAAUAGACGUUAUCUCACCUGCUCAUAUACAGGAAAAGAUAUCCAAUCAGGAAAAUUAUCUCCACAAAUUUUCUUUAAAUCAUCUCUGUUGAGGGACCCAAGGAGUUUAAUAUCAACUGCCUGUAGAGAAAAAUGAAGAAUGUUAGUAUAAGGGAAUUAUAUAUAUACACAAACAAUCACCGAAGAAUGUUAGUAUAAGGAAAUUAUAUAUAUACACACAAUCACACGCACAAACACAGAUUAAAACAUAUUUUGUUGUUAUAUAAAAAUGUGCUCAUUAAAAAAGGAUCCUCAAAUGCCUUUCUUUUUAUUUUCCUGUUUAUACCCUUAUUUUCCUUGUCUUCUGCCAAUGCAGUGGUUUAAUCAGUAUAGAAUCCAGGAUCCAGACUCCAGGCUGAAGUCUACAGGCACACCAUACUGACAUAUGACUGAUUAAGUUGUCACUGAUGACGUAGAGAUUACUGUUUUAACUUUUCCCAUCACACCCCAUUUAUAACAUCAGGUAAGAGAUAGCACUGAAGUAUCACAGAAAGGUACACUUAUGCUCUUACAGUAU
RNAcentral lists this long non-coding RNA (5277 nucleotides) under Phaseolus vulgaris (common bean). Its description in RNAcentral is "long non-coding RNA (PVUL_LNC001446)". The record is from RNAcentral. Lineage: Eukaryota; Viridiplantae; Streptophyta; Magnoliopsida; Fabales; Fabaceae.